UCAACUUGAGAGUUUGAUCCUGGCUCAGAACGAACGCUGGCGGCAGGCCUAACACAUGCAAGUCGAGCGAGACCUUCGGGUCUAGCGGCGGACGGGUUAGUAACGCGUGGGAAUAUACCCUUCACUACGGAAUAGCCUCGGGAAACUGGGAGUAAUACCGUAUACGCCCUUUGGGGGAAAGAUUUAUCGGUGAAGGAUUAGCCCGCGUCUGAUUAGAUAGUUGGUGGGGUAAUGGCCUACCAAGUCUACGAUCAGUAGCUGGUUUGAGAGGAUGAUCAGCAACACUGGGACUGAGACACGGCCCAGACUCCUACGGGAGGCAGCAGUGGGGAAUCUUAGACAAUGGGCGCAAGCCUGAUCUAGCCAUGCCGCGUGAGUGACGAAGGCCUUAGGGUCGUAAAGCUCUUUCGCCAGAGAUGAUAAUGACAGUAUCUGGUAAAGAAACCCCGGCUAACUCCGUGCCAGCAGCCGCGGUAAUACG
Molecule: ribosomal RNA, 481 nt
Filed under: Yoonia vestfoldensis SKA53
Lineage: Bacteria; Pseudomonadati; Pseudomonadota; Alphaproteobacteria; Rhodobacterales; Paracoccaceae
Description: bacterial SSU rRNA
Rfam family: Bacterial small subunit ribosomal RNA
Source: RNAcentral